RNAcentral lists this ribosomal RNA (429 nucleotides) under Bacteroidota bacterium. RNAcentral's name for it is "Bacteroidetes bacterium partial 16S ribosomal RNA". It matches the Rfam family "Bacterial small subunit ribosomal RNA", at positions 355 to 776 of the family's 1533-position model. The record is from RNAcentral. Lineage: Bacteria; Pseudomonadati; Bacteroidota.
UAGGGAAUCUUCCGCAAUGGACGCAAGUCUGACGGAGCAACGCCGCGUGAGUGAAGAAGGAUUUCGGUUCGUAAAACUCUGUUGUUAGAGAAGAACAGCGCAUAGAGUAACUGUUAUGCGUGUGACGGUAUCUAACCAGAAAGCCACGGCUAACUACGUGCCAGCAGCCGCGGUAAUACGUAGGUGGCAAGCGUUGUCCGGAUUUAUUGGGCGUAAAGCGAGCGCAGGCGGUCAAUUAAGUCUGAUGUGAAAGCCCCCGGCUCAACCGGGGAGGGUCAUUGGAAACUGGUUGACUUGAGUGCAGAAGAGGAGAGUGGAAUUCCAUGUGUAGCGGUGAAAUGCGUAGAUAUAUGGAGGAACAACAGUGGCGAAGGCGACUCUCUGGUCUGUAACUGACGCUGAGGCUCGAAAGCGUGGGUAGCAAACAGG